This is a non-coding RNA of Cicer arietinum (chickpea), 1518 nucleotides long. NCBI's taxonomy places the organism in Eukaryota, Viridiplantae, Streptophyta, Magnoliopsida, Fabales, Fabaceae. The record is from RefSeq and is a predicted model, not a curated record.
AACAGAGAAGACAGUUAGAAACAAUAUAAAAUUCAGACAAAAGAAGCUUUAAGUUGUCCAAGACUGCUACAAACAGGAAGAAAACACCAUGAAUAACUGAAGCAUAUUCAGGUUAAACAUGCUGAUAUCAUCAGUUAAGAUAACUGACUAAUAUAUGUUGAGGGAAAAGGUAUCAAAAAGUAUUUAGAGCACAAAGGACAAACAAGCACAUCAAUCAGUACUUAAUCAUAUUCAGGCCAAUGAGUCUAUGCAUCAUUAGUUGAAAACACAGUUAGGAAUCCAAGCAAAUGACAAUCAAACUAUAUAGUGGUUAAAAAUACAUAGAAAUCCAAUCAAUCUGUGUUUUUAGGACAUGUGGCCAGCCUCAUCAAUCAUGACCACCUUCUUCUGCUCCCUUACAUUACAUUCAUUUACUUCUGCCAGUUGUGGAGUAACUAGUCUCAGUCUUUUUGUCCUUCAAUUCUAUCAGAUAAUGCUUGCUCACCUUCUAACUAUAUUUCCUCACUUUAUGGCCUACUUAGCUCUUACUCAUUCUUCUUAAUCAUAAUUUCUAUUUCACAACUUUUUCUAUUAUCCACCUAUACCCAAAACAAUUGUUAUUUCUUUCAAUUAUGCAAUGCUGUUAUAUACCCGAUAUCUCAUAUCUCUCAAACUGCUCUCUAAAAUAUAAAUUUCUUAUUUUAGUCUCUAAUUAAUAUCUUAACAAGUUUUUAGUAUUUUCAUAUACUUUAUAGACUAAUUUGGAGAGAGAGUGAUAUCUUAGUGACUAAUUAAGAGGAUUCAGAUUGAGUGCAGUCGGUAAAUUUGGAUCGUUAGGAGGAAAAGCAACAGAUUUUUUUCAGGUUUAUAACAAUAAAGCUAUUCAUUCCAAAUCUAGUAUCCCAAAAGAGUACCCUAUUUCAUCUUUUAAUCUUCAAUCUCAUGAAGCAAAGCACCUUGCUUCUAAGAGAAAGUUGGAGUUUGGAAGUGGUGUUCUUUUCUACAACAGAGGUUGUGUGACAAUAAAAGAAAAGUACGACAAAAUAACAGCGGCUCACCAUGAUUUUACCAAUCCCACCGUGAAAUCAAACAUGUAGUCACUAAAACAAGUUUGUUACUACAAUCAAAAGAAUACUACUGCUAAUCUAGCCAAAGUUCAGCCAUUCCCUUACGACCAACUACUGUCAAAUUCUAUUCACAUCAACGAGAAUUUAUCAAUAUUAAAUAAAAUAAAAACUAAGAUUUAGAAAGUUAAAUACAAGUCACUUGAACAAAUGGUGAUGGAGUUUCCAAUUAUUGACAAUCAUUAACACACUUUUCAGCACUGGUAUUAACUUCUAUAUUGCAAGCUCAUACAAAUCAUAAUUAAAAAAAAAGAAGAAGAAAAAACUAAUAUGAGAAUCUGAAAUGAACAGCACACACUAAGUAGAUGCAAAUCAAACAUAAGUAAAACGAAAUAUGUGACAAGCGUAGGGAACUUUUAUCAGCACAAAAAGUAGAUGCAAGCAAACUGAAAGUAAAUAAUUCGUAAGAAGAAAC